RNAcentral lists this microRNA precursor (80 nucleotides) under Ovis aries (sheep). RNAcentral describes it as "miRNA (ENSOARG00000022138.1)". Lineage: Eukaryota; Metazoa; Chordata; Mammalia; Artiodactyla; Bovidae. The record is from RNAcentral.
UUGGGCUGACCAAAAAGUUUAUUUGGGUUUUCCCAAAACAUCUUACAGAAAAACCUGAAUGAACUUUUUGGCUGACCCAA